RNAcentral lists this ribosomal RNA (320 nucleotides) under uncultured eukaryote. Its description in RNAcentral is "partial 18S ribosomal RNA". It matches the Rfam family "Eukaryotic small subunit ribosomal RNA", at positions 1470 to 1796 of the family's 1831-position model. The record is from RNAcentral.
CCCUUAGAUGUUCUGGGCUGCACGCGUGUUACAAUCGGGAGUACAACAAGAUUGCAAAUCCUAGUGGAUGAGUGGUUCUUCGAAAUUUUCUGAAGACUGGGAUAGUUGAUUGAAAUUAUUCAACUCAACCGAGGAAUUCCUUGUAAUUGUAAUUCAUUAUAUUGUAAUGAAUACGUCCCUGCCCUUUGUACACACCGCCCGUCGCUCCUACCGAUUGAACGAUCCGGUGAAUUAUUUGGAGUAGCUCUGGAAGUUGCAGAACUUCCUAUGUCACGAAAUUUUGUAAACCUUAUCGUUUAGAGGAAGGAAAAGUCGUAACA